UUAACGAUUUAUAGUUAUUAUUCAGACGACAUAGUUAUAAAAAGGAUUUUAAGAAGGCUACUGGCAGGCACUGACUAGAGGCAUAAAAGUCUCCAGCGGCCCCGAAAGGCGGGCCCACCAAAGCAACAUGGUAUAGUAAACAAAGGGUUGGAGGUCGGGCCCAGAAGACCCUAACUCGGUAAUGAUCCUUCCGCAGGUUCACCUACGGAAA
RNAcentral lists this unclassified non-coding RNA (211 nucleotides) under uncultured fungus. RNAcentral describes it as "sequence contains ITS1, 5.8S rRNA gene". Lineage: Eukaryota; Fungi. The record is from RNAcentral.